This 497-nucleotide ribosomal RNA is filed under the name Phyllium ortizi. RNAcentral describes it as "Phyllium sp. 1 SB-2023a partial large subunit ribosomal RNA". The record is from RNAcentral. Lineage: Eukaryota; Metazoa; Arthropoda; Insecta; Phasmatodea; Phylliidae.
GGAGAAUCCUGAAUUCGAAAGGGGUUGGAUUCAGAUCUUACCGUUCGCAUACUAGGCAGCCCCACUGCGGAUGGUGCCGGUCGCCCGCGGCGAUUAAUUUCGUUUGCGGUGUCGUUUCUGGCGUCCACUCGGUGGUGGCUUGCCAACUUCACGGAGGGUCGCACUUCUCCCCUAGUAGAAACGUCGCGACCCGUUGGGUGCCGGCCGAAGGCCUGGGAAGGAAGCCCGCGCAUCCUGUGGUGGUUGCCACAGGCGUGCGGACUCCCGGUGACCCGGCCGGCUGCCCGACGGUAUGACCAGAGGAGCCGAUCCGCUGAAUGGGAAACACUGUGGUUUGUGAAGCGUGCGGCCUGGCGCCGAUACGUGCGGGGAUUGAGGUGUAAACCGGGGGUGCCCGUGCGAAGCACGGUCCCGGCCCCGCUGCGUUGUCGGUUGCCGGUGUCCUCGCACUGGAUCGAUACUCCCGUCUGCGACGCCCAUCUUCGGAUGGUCUCCCG